Molecule: unclassified non-coding RNA, 152 nt
Filed under: Centruroides sculpturatus (bark scorpion)
Lineage: Eukaryota; Metazoa; Arthropoda; Arachnida; Scorpiones; Buthidae
Description: bTB/POZ domain-containing protein 3-like, transcript variant X1
Source: RNAcentral
AGACACGUUAUCGAAACGCAGAUCAUUGGCCGAACUUCCGUUAGACAGACGUUACUCCGUUCGGAUUCGAUGCUAAAAUAAAUUAUAUUUUUGUUUUUUACCGGGAAUGUAUCAAUAUAUAAUUGGGAGGAUGUCGAGUGACAAAUGGCGGG